AUCCUUAGCAAGCCUCUCAACAGUGUACUCUUCAGGAUUCUCCUUAUGCAACCGAUACAUCUCUGCCUUCUCUGAAUCCUUAAGGUAGGAUCCUCUGGCUCCAGGCUCCUCCACUUGCUUCAAUAGCACACUUGUCUCCAGCAAUCUCUGCUCCCAUCCGUCAACGAAAAAUUUCCCCUUCCUGUUUUCAGCAUCCAGUUCUUUUAUCCUAUCGUCAAUCUCUUGCAGCUCAGAUAUCACAGGAGACUGGGAAGAAGAAGAAGAACUAGCCCUCUUCCCCACCGUCUCACCGUUGAAAUGAUCCUUGGCCAAUCCAGUCGACCAUGAUGAAACGGAGUCCCAACCU
This 346-nucleotide long non-coding RNA is filed under the name Linum usitatissimum (flax). RNAcentral's name for it is "long non-coding RNA (LUSI_LNC001192)". Lineage: Eukaryota; Viridiplantae; Streptophyta; Magnoliopsida; Malpighiales; Linaceae. The record is from RNAcentral.